UACGGAGGAUGCGAGCGUUAUCCGGAUUUAUUGGGUUUAAAGGGAGCGUAGGUGGAUUGUUAAGUCAGUUGUGAAAGUUUGCGGCUCAACCAUAAAAUUGCCGUUGAAACUGGAAGACUUGAGUGUGUUUGAGGUAGGCGGAAUGCGUGGUGUAGCGGUGAAAUGCAUAGAUAUCACGCAGAACUCCGAUUGCGAAGGCAGCAUGCCGGCUCCACACUGACGCUGAGGCACGAAAGCGUGGGUAUCGAACAGG
RNAcentral lists this ribosomal RNA (253 nucleotides) under uncultured Parabacteroides sp. Its description in RNAcentral is "partial 16S ribosomal RNA". It matches the Rfam family "Bacterial small subunit ribosomal RNA", at positions 524 to 776 of the family's 1533-position model. Lineage: Bacteria; Pseudomonadati; Bacteroidota; Bacteroidia; Bacteroidales; Tannerellaceae. The record is from RNAcentral.